RNAcentral lists this transfer RNA (113 nucleotides) under Collariella sp. IMI 366227. Its description in RNAcentral is "tRNA-Leu". It matches the Rfam family "tRNA". Rfam says of the family: Transfer RNA (tRNA) molecules are approximately 80 nucleotides in length. The record is from RNAcentral. Lineage: Eukaryota; Fungi; Ascomycota; Sordariomycetes; Sordariales; Chaetomiaceae.
GGCAAGGUGGCCGAGCGGUCUAAGGCGCCACGUUAAGGUCCACCCUUAAUCCUCUUCAUUGUAAGAAUUCCGUGGUCUCGAAAGGGGCGUGAGUUCGAAUCUCACCCUUGUCA